GCACAUAGCACAGUCACUCUGUUUUGGAAUGGCGGUCCCUACGGGUGGGAGAGUCCACUAUAAACGGAUAGAAUAGCCCAUUGCAUCUUACGCCCCAUGGACCAAAUUCCACUCCCAGAUUGUGCUGGUAGGGCCUGAAAGCUAAAAAUGGUUUUUAUAUCUUCACAUGGUUGAAAAUAAUUCUUAAAGAUAAUAUUUGCAGCAUGAAGAUUAUAUUCAUUAUACUCAUAUUCAUCCAGAUUUCAUGGUCUAUAAGCAGUGUUUUCUUGAAACAGGCUCUUUAAUGUACUUUUUAUCUGUGGUGCUUCUUGGAUACAAUGACUGAACUGAGAGGAUGCAACAGAUGUCAUAUGGCAAAGCUCAAAUACUUACUCUCUGGAUCUUUAUAGAAGUUUGCCCACCUCCACUGUAGAAAUAUGGCCCGAAGAUUCUUUUACUUGUCAGAAGCAGCACUCACCUGUGCCUCUCCCUGAUCAGGCCCAAACAAAUCAGCUGCCCUCACCUGAA
RNAcentral lists this long non-coding RNA (507 nucleotides) under Bos indicus x Bos taurus (hybrid cattle). RNAcentral describes it as "lncRNA (ENSBIXG00005019711.1)". Lineage: Eukaryota; Metazoa; Chordata; Mammalia; Artiodactyla; Bovidae. The record is from RNAcentral.